This 248-nucleotide ribosomal RNA is filed under the name uncultured bacterium. Its description in RNAcentral is "partial 16S ribosomal RNA". It matches the Rfam family "Bacterial small subunit ribosomal RNA", at positions 523 to 769 of the family's 1533-position model. The record is from RNAcentral.
AUACGUAGGGAGCGAGCGUUGUCCGGAUUUAUUGGGUGUAAAGGGUGCGUAGGCGGCUACGUAAGUUCAGGCGUGUAAUUCAGAGGCUUAACUUCUGAACUGCGCUUGAAACUGUGUAGCUUGAGUGGAGUAGAGGUAGAUGGAAUUUCCAGUGUAGCGGUGAAAUGCGUAGAUAUUGGAAGGAACACCAGUGGCGAAGGCGAUCUGCUGGGCUCUAACUGACGCUGAGGCACGAAAGCAUGGGGAGC